GGUUAAGCUGGUAAGAGCACACGGAGGAUGCCUAGGCGCUAGGAGCCGAAGAAGGACGUGGCGAACAACGAUAUGCCCCGGGGAGUCGUAAGCAGACUUUGAUCCGGGGAUGUCCGAAUGGGGGAACCCGGCUGCGGUUAUGCGCAGUCACUCACUUCUGAAUCCAUAGGAAGUGAAGAGGCAGACCAGGGGAACUGAAACAUCUAAGUACCCUGAGGAGAAGAAAACAAUCGUGAUUCCGUCAGUAGCGGCGAGCGAAAGCGGAGGAGCCCAAACCAGAGAGCUUGCUCACUGGGGUUGUGGGACACCUUAUACGGAGUUACAAAGGAGCAGAUUAGGCGAAGAGGUCUGGAAAGGCCUGCCACAGAAGGUAACAGCCCUGUAGCUGAAAGUCUGCUCUCUCCAAGGUGGAUCCCGAGUACGGCGGGACACGGGAAACCCCGUCGGAAUCCGGCAGGACCAUCUGCCAAGGCUAAAUACUCCCUAGCGACCGAUAGUGAAGCAGUACCGUGAGGGAAAGGUGAAAAGCACCCCGGGAGGGGAGUGAAAGAGAACCUGAAACCGUGUGCUUACAAGAAGUCAGAGCCCUAUGAUUUUCUUCGGGAAAUCAGGGUGAUGGCGUGCCUUUUGUAGAAUGAACCGGCGAGUUACGCUUGCAUGCAAGGUUAAGGUGAAGAGCCGGAGCCGCAGCGAAAGCGAGUCUGAACAGGGCAAAGCAUAAGCUUACGAAGUAGCAAUACUUUGUAUUGCUUGGAAGUAUGCAGGCGUAGACCCGAAACCGUGUGAUCUACCCCUGUCCAGGGUGAAGGUGAGGUAACACUCACUGGAGGCCCGAACCCACGAAUGUUGAAAAAUUCGGGGAUGAGGUGGGGGUAGCGGAGAAAUUCCAAUCGAACUCGGAGAUAGCUGGUUCUCCUCGAAAUAGCUUUAGGGCUAGCCUCGGGUUAGAGUGAUGGAGGUAAAGCACUGAUUGGGUGCGGGGCCCGCCAAGGGUUACCAAGUCUAGUCAAACUCUGAAUGCCAUCCACUCGGUGCCCGGGAGUCAGACAGUGAGUGCUAAGAUCCAUUGUCAAGAGGGAAACAGCCCAGAUCAUCAGCUAAGGUCCCCAAGUGUGUGUUAAGUGGGAAAGGAUGUGGAGUUGCACAGACAACCAGGAUGUUGGCUUAGAAGCAGCCACCAUUUAAAGAGUGCGUAAUAGCUCACUGGUCGAGUGACUCUGCGCCGAAAAUGUAACGGGGCUAAAUACACCACCGAAGCUAUGGGUCCUAAUUAAGGGCAGUAGGGGAGCGUUCCAAGCAGCAUAGAAGGUUGACCGUGAGGACAGCUGGAGCGCUUGGAAGUGAGAAUGCCGGUAUGAGUAACGAAAAGAUCAGUGAGAAUCUGAUCCGCCGAAAGCCUAAGGGUUCCUGAGGAAGGUUCGUCCGCUCAGGGUAAGUCGGGACCUAAGGCGAGGCCGAAAGGCGUAGUCGAAGGACAACAGGCAGAAAUUCCUGUACCACCAAACACCGCUAUGAGCGAUGGGGUGACACAGUAGGGUAGGGACGCAAGCUGAUGGAAGUGCUUGUCCAAGCAGUGAGGCUGGUGUGCAGGCAAAUCCGCACACGAUGAAAGCCGGGCUGUGACGGGGAGUGAAAAUAGCAGUAGCGAAGGUCUUGAUCUCACACUGUCAAGAAAAGCCUCUAGCCAGGUGCAGGUGCCCGUACCGCAAACCGACACAGGUAGGCGAGAAGAGAAUUCUAAGGCGCGCGGAAGAACUCUCGUUAAGGAACUCGGCAAAAUGACCCCGUAACUUAGGGAGAAGGGGUGCCCCGGUAGAGUGAAUAGCUCGAGGGGGCCGCAGUGAAUAGGCCCAAGCGACUGUUUAGCAAAAACACAGGUCUAUGCGAAGCCGCAAGGCGAAGUAUAUGGGCUGACGCCUGCCCGGUGCUGGAAGGUUAAGGGGAGUGGUUAGGGCUUAAGGCCCGAAGCUAUGAACCGAAGCCCCAGUAAACGGCGGCCGUAACUAUAACGGUCCUAAGGUAGCGAAAUUCCUUGUCAGGUAAAUUCUGACCCGCACGAAUGGCGUAACGACUUGGGCGCUGUCUCAACGAGAGAUCCGGUGAAAUUUUAAUACCUGUGAAGAUGCAGGUUACCCGCGACAAGACGGAAAGACCCCAUGGAGCUUUACUGCAGCUUGAUAUUGGACUUUGGUACGAUCUGUACAGGAUAGGUGGGAGCCUAAGAAGCCGGAGCGCCAGCUUCGGUGGAGGCAGCGUUGGGAUACCACUCUGAUCGUAUCGGAGUUCUAACCCGGGACCGUGAACCGGUUCGGGGACAGUGUCAGGUGGGCAGUUUGACUGGGGCGGUCGCCUCCUAAAGAGUAACGGAGGCG
RNAcentral lists this ribosomal RNA (2372 nucleotides) under Paenibacillus larvae. RNAcentral's name for it is "partial 23S ribosomal RNA". It matches the Rfam family "Bacterial large subunit ribosomal RNA", at positions 1 to 2308 of the family's 2925-position model. Lineage: Bacteria; Bacillati; Bacillota; Bacilli; Caryophanales; Paenibacillaceae. The record is from RNAcentral.